AUCCUGGCUCAAGACGAACGCUGGCGGCGUGCUUAACACAUGCAAGUCGAACGGAGUACCCUCGAAAGAGAUUUCGGUCAAUGGAGAGGACUACUUAGUGGCGGACGGGUGAGUAACGCGUGAGGAACCUGCCUUUCAGUGGGGGACAACAGUUGGAAACGACUGCUAAUACCGCAUAACGUACGGGUAUCGCAUGGUACUGGUACCAAAGAUUUAUCGCUGAGAGAUGGCCUCGCGUCUGAUUAGCUAGUUGGUAGGGUAACGGCCUACCAAGGCGACGAUCAGUAGCCGGACUGAGAGGUUGGCCGGCCACAUUGGGACUGAGAUACGGCCCAGACUCCUACGGGAGGCAGCAGUGGGGAAUAUUGGGCAAUGGGCGCAAGCCUGACCCAGCAACGCCGCGUGAAGGAAGAAGGCUUUCGGGUUGUAAACUUCUUUUGACAGGGAAGAGCAGAAGACGGUACCUGUCGAAUAGGCCACGGCUAACUACGUGCCAGCAGCCGCGGUAAUACGUAGGGGGCAAGCGUUAUCCGGAUUUACUGGGUGUAAAGGGAGCGUAGACGGCAGCGCAAGUCUGGAGUGAAAUGCCGGGGGCUCACC
RNAcentral lists this ribosomal RNA (600 nucleotides) under uncultured bacterium. Its description in RNAcentral is "bacterial SSU rRNA". It matches the Rfam family "Bacterial small subunit ribosomal RNA", at positions 16 to 614 of the family's 1533-position model. The record is from RNAcentral.